UCUGAGCUUUUGUUUAACAUUAAUAUGCAGGGACUGUAAUAAAAGAAAAAAAAAUAAUUAGGUUAACAUUUUUCUUUUCAAUGUACUCUGAUGUUGUAUAAAAUGAGUGUUUUAGCAGAUUUAUUAAUUGUGCUUUGUUAACAAUUAUGACCUUAAUGAUUCAAAUUUAAACACUUAAACAUUUAAGCAUUGUUUUAAAUAAAUAAAUCACUGGUAAAAAAAAAAAAAAAAAUGCUUGUAAAUGCUGUCAUUAAAUGUAUUGUAUGUGCUGUAUUUUGCUGUUAUUUUGCUUUUUAUAAGUUGCAAACCCCCUACUCUGAGCUUGUAUUUCACAUUAGCAUGCAGGGGCAGAAAAACAUGACAAAUAUAUGACAAAUACAUGUAUUUGUGUAUAGGAGUGAAAUAUAGUUGUUUUAACACUUUGAAUAAUACCAUCAUGUCACUGAGUUGACUUUGACAUUAGCGUUUCCUCCUGCACGUGUGUACUUGGCUUUAUACACACUUCCUGUGUGAUUCACUUUGACAUUUUAGUUGUCUUAUUGCGUAUAGUGACUGCCUGAACAUGCUCCUGCCUGUAAGCAUGGUACAGUGACCUCUGAGAGGUAUCAGAAAAGGUGAGAUCUUAAUUGUCCUGUCACCCCUGCUGCUAACUCCUCUCUCUAUUGCUCCUCCUCUUGCCAGUCCUCCCUGCAGAAGCUGUAGAGCAGAGGGCGCUCUGCAGUGCAAGAACAUGCCUUGACUUGUACCGGCUUGUCAGGAGGGAGUUGGGGCUUGUGGUCAGUACCAGUAGCUGAGUGUUUUCAUCCGACUGACCUGUAAAAGACGACAACACCGUACAGACUAUGUUGUCUUUGGGAUGGCUGGAAUUUGUAAUAGACUGAAUUGAUAAAGAGCUUACACUAAGACAAGAUGGCUCGACCCCUGAGACUAAAGAUGAGACAGUUUACCAGACUUGUUUAACUGACUUUCCAACAUCUGUACAUUUAUUUGGUGGUUACUCCCGUGAACUAGUGGUUAACUCACAAGCACCUCUGCUGUUGCCAGGAGCAUCAAUGUUGCUGAUAGCAAUGUAUUUCUCUGGAUGAAAGAAACUUAUCCUGAUGUCCGGGGAUGAGGGGAGAUUCAAAGUAAGCUGUGAGAACAAAAGAAGUCAUACGUGUUGGGAGCAACAUGAGGGAGACUUUUCACCCACCGGCAUCUCUUGGAAACCGAAAGCAGAACUAGGAGUUAUUUGCUAAGGGGAAAUCUUCCUCUGUCACCGGCUGUCACAGAAGGACUUCGGACAUUCCAUUGGCAAAGUAUUAAAGUGUCCUGAUUGAGCUACCCUGCAGGAGAUGGGAGAGUCACAUAAAAGAAGCCUUUACAGUCUCCGACAGAUCCUUUGGAUGAUGGUGAAAGAUUGGUAGUGAUGGAAAGAGAGGAGAAAGUGAGGGAUGGGGGGGGGGCGCUGCUGUGAGUGGUUCUUUGGCAGUGUCUUAGCUGGUUGUUGUGUGGAGUGAGAACGAAGCAAUCAGCAAGUAUACUGCCGCAGAAACUCGUCACCUUGGAAGGCCCAUCCAUCCGACCUCGCUCACGCAAUCACCCGCCAACACAUGCGCUCAGAGGAUGGAGAGAGAGACACAGACAGAUGGAGAGAGGAGAAACCUCAGUCUGUUCAUAUUAUCAGCUCUCUAAAAACAGAGCUUCUCCUCUGGCUUCGUUCAUUCCACUUCAUCUAAUUGUGAGUGUCAGCCUUUGUUUUUGUCACCGCUCAUUGAAUAUUUAAAGGGCUAGUUCACCCAAAAAUGAAAAAUCAUGUUGUUCCAAAUCUGUAUGACUUACUUUCUCCCAUGGAGCACAAAAGGAAAUAAAAAGGAAAGGGUUUGUUACAGUCUCACUUUUAUUAUUAUUCUAUGGGGAAAAAAAAGAUACAAUGGAAGUGAAUGGUGACAGAGGCUAUAAUUCUGCCUAACAUUUCCUUUUGUGUUCCACUGAAUGAUGAUGGAACAAAUAAUGACAGAAUUUUGAGGGUGAACUAUUCCUUUAACAACUGACUGAUUUCAUUAAUUUAUAAGUGAAAGAUUGAAUUAUACUUUGUUUUAUUGUCAAGGUUUAGUUCUUUUCAUGCCAAAUGCAAAGCUGUUGUAAUCAACAGUUUUUUUUUAUUCCUUCUCUUAUUCUGUUGAUCGGGGACAAUUAAGUUACCUGUUAUUAUGAGUAUCGGCUCUCCAUAUUUUGCAGUUUCAGUAUUUCCAUGAUGUAGUGUGUCUUGUUUAUAUCUGGCCUAUACUUAGCUUACAGUCUUGUUGUGAUGUGUUCAUCAUGAACUCUGCUAAUUGACCAAAACAUAUAUUAUCAUCAUGAUAAAAAAAAAAAAACGCCUAAUACAGCAAAGUAGGCUACUCCUCCCGAUUUGAGCAUGUGUACUGUAUAUAGAAUGUUAGAAGUAUUAAUUAUCUACUAUAAAUUUCAUACUGUGUUUAAAUGUGACUGUGUUUUAAUAAUAAUUCAACAUGUAUUAAUUUAGUCUAUAAUAAUAAUAAUAAUAAUAAUAAUAAUAAUAAUACAAUUUAGUUUGAAAGGGUCAUCAUUUUUUUACAUUUCUCUAUUUGUGGCAUAUGUUUAGUAGUAUGUUUAAAGCAAUCUGUAUGUAUUGUGUGUAUUAAAGUCAAGCUUCAUUUUCA
Molecule: long non-coding RNA, 2663 nt
Organism: Myxocyprinus asiaticus (Chinese sucker)
Lineage: Eukaryota; Metazoa; Chordata; Actinopteri; Cypriniformes; Catostomidae
Exons: 5
Source: RefSeq, a predicted model, not a curated record